UAUAACGUCCCAAUGGAAGACCCAAGCUACAAGGCCUAUAUUCUAAAAGGACUAGCCAAUGAUACAAUUGAAGCUCCAUUAGAACCUUAUAAAGAGCAAGAACUUCUCCUUCCAAGCAAUGUGGGAUCCAAUAUACCACCUACCUUUAUCCAUAUCAUAUGGGGGUAUCACAAUCUUCC
Juglans microcarpa x Juglans regia is the source of this 179-nucleotide long non-coding RNA. RefSeq lists it as uncharacterized. Lineage: Eukaryota; Viridiplantae; Streptophyta; Magnoliopsida; Fagales; Juglandaceae. The record is from RefSeq and is a predicted model, not a curated record. The transcript has 3 exons.